GGUCUCGUGGUCUAGUGGUAUGAUUCUCGCUUUGGGCGCAACUCAAAGCUGCGAGAGGCCCCGCGUUCGAAUCGCGGCGGGACCC
Molecule: non-coding RNA, 85 nt
Organism: Ophidiomyces ophidiicola
Lineage: Eukaryota; Fungi; Ascomycota; Eurotiomycetes; Onygenales; Onygenaceae
Source: the annotation of a RefSeq genome assembly